This is a long non-coding RNA of Hemicordylus capensis (graceful crag lizard), 261 nucleotides long. RefSeq lists it as uncharacterized. The record is from RefSeq and is a predicted model, not a curated record. The transcript is spliced from 3 exons. Lineage: Eukaryota; Metazoa; Chordata; Lepidosauria; Squamata; Cordylidae.
GAGCAAGCAAGAGAGGACUCUCUGGAGAGAGGGAGAGGGAUCGGAAAGCGAGAGAGAAACCAAGAGAGAGAGAGAGAAAGAGAGAGAGACAAAGAGGAGUCCUACAUGCCUCCAGCAUGCCCAGAAAAUACAGUAUUCAACACUAGGAUCUUGACGAAGAUCAGAAGACGCCUGCCUGGUCUUGCCUGACCCCCGGCUCCCCACACCUCCCAGAGGCCGCGAUUAAUUGGCUUGAGUUUAUUAGGCGGCCAGAGAUUGAGA